UGUCCAGUAGCACCUUAGAGACCAACUACGUUUGUUUUUGGUAUAAGCUUUUGUUUGCAUGCACACUUCAUGAAAGCUUAUACCAAGAACAAACUUAGUUGGCCUCUAAGGUGCUACUGGAAU
Molecule: microRNA precursor, 123 nt
Filed under: Podarcis lilfordi (Lilford's wall lizard)
Lineage: Eukaryota; Metazoa; Chordata; Lepidosauria; Squamata; Lacertidae
Source: RNAcentral